RNAcentral lists this ribozyme (113 nucleotides) under Aedes aegypti (yellow fever mosquito). RNAcentral describes it as "drz-agam-1 ribozyme". It matches the Rfam family "drz-agam-1 ribozyme". Lineage: Eukaryota; Metazoa; Arthropoda; Insecta; Diptera; Culicidae. The record is from Rfam by way of RNAcentral.
UGUCCAGUAACUCCUAUCCCUACCUCCCCGUGGUGCCGCCUGGGGUACGAGUAACCGUAGAAGAUCGGGUAACCAACCCUGGUGGGACCUUGAUCGUAUGCUGACAGAGAAGG